RNAcentral lists this long non-coding RNA (1015 nucleotides) under Sus scrofa (pig). RNAcentral's name for it is "lncRNA (ENSSSCG00070002085.1)". The record is from RNAcentral. Lineage: Eukaryota; Metazoa; Chordata; Mammalia; Artiodactyla; Suidae.
CGGGGGGGGCGGGAGGGCCUGAAACCUAACGAGGGGGCGGAACUCAGGGAACGGAACUAUGGCGGCGAGACUAUGGCGGCGAGACGAAAGGGAACGCAAUGAAAGGGGGCGUGCCUAGAGGGGCCCAAGGAGAGCGAACUUAAGUAAGGGGGGGCUGCCUGGAGACGGCCCAACUAAGCCGGGUGAGGUGAGGCGGAGGACGGGGCACACGGUUGCUGACAGGGCGCUGCCUUAGUGGUUCAGCUCCCGCUCAGGGAACGUCCCGUCAUGUCGCGCCUUUACCUUUGGUCCCCGCUGCUCCUCCUUUCGUGGCCACCGUUGUGGCUUCUGGUCCAGGUAGCUCAGGCGUCGGACUGGGCCCUGGACCAUGUCCCCCUGACCUCCGACCCCCCAGGGCUGACCUCUGAACGCUCACUGGACUCGCCCCAUGUGCUUGCACCCUCGGCAGAGCCGGGGGGCUUGGCUUACUCGACGGCCUCCUCUCCAGCCCAGAUGUUCGCCCCGCCCAGUCAGGAGGUAACGGAGACUUUCGUUCCAGACCCGGACUUGGAUUCAGUUGAUUUUGUAGAGGACCCAGAUCCACCUACUGAGCCCCCUGAGGAGGUGGAAUCCUCACUCCAGGAAGAGGCCCCUGCUCAGCAUCCACAGCCCACAGAAGAGGUAGAAUCACCUCCACUUGAGCAGGAGGCUCUGUUUCAGCCUCCAGAGGCCCCUGAGGAAAUGGAAACUUCAAGCCUUCAGGAGGCCCUCCUAGCUCAAGCUUCGGAGACACUUAAGGAGGCUGGAGGGCAGCCAUCAGCACGUCAUAGGGUAAAUGAAGCUCAGCAGUCAGGCUGGCACAGUGUCACUGUGACACCUCUGGAUCUGGCCCUUACCGUAACUCCAGAGGUCACUAAAAAGGUUGAACCUUCUCCAGUCCAGCAGCAUGCCUUAUUGCAGGCCCCAGAGAGCCCUGAGGAGUCUGAAACUCCUCCAGUCCUGGAGGAGGCCCCACCUCAGCCUCCAGAGCGCCCCG